CUUGCGGGCCGGCCUAUACAUGCAAGUCGAGCGCAGGAAGCAGGCAGAUCCCCUUCGGGGGUGAUGCCUGUGGAAUGAGCGGCGGACGGGUGAGUAACACGUGGGCAACCUGCCUGUAAGAUCGGAAUAACUCCGGGAAACCGGGGCUAAUGCCGGGUAAUCCUUUUUUUCGCAUGAGAGAGAGGUAAAAGAUGGCCUUUGGCUAUCACUUACAGAUGGGCCCGCGGCGCAUUAGCUAGUUGGUGAGGUAAUAGCUCACCAAGGCGACGAUGCGUAGCCGACCUGAGAGGGUGAUCGGCCACACUGGGACUGAGACACGGCCCAGACUCCUACGGGAGGCAGCAGUAGGGAAUCUUCCGCAAUGGACGAAAGUCUGACGGAGCAACGCCGCGUGAACGAUGAAGGUCUUCGGAUCGUAAAGUUCUGUUGUUAGGGAAGAACAAGUACCGUGCGAAUAGAGCGGUACCUUGACGGUACCUAACGAGGAAGCCCCGGCUAACUACGUGCCAGCAGCCGCGGUAAUACGUAGGGGGCAAGCGUUGUCCGGAAUUAUUGGGCGUAAAGCGCGCGCAGGCGGUUUCUUAAGUCUGAUGUGAAAGCCCACGGCUCAACCGUGGAGGGUCAUUGGAAACUGGGGAACUUGAGGACAGAAGAGGAGAGUGGAAUUCCACGUGUAGCGGUGAAAUGCGUAGAUAUGUGGAGGAACACCAGUGGCGAAGGCGACUCUCUGGUCUGUUUCUGACGCUGAGGUGCGAAAGCGUGGGUAGCAAACAGGAUUAGAUACCCUGGUAGUCCACGCC
Molecule: ribosomal RNA, 800 nt
Filed under: Halobacillus sp. JSM 102085
Lineage: Bacteria; Bacillati; Bacillota; Bacilli; Caryophanales; Bacillaceae
Description: bacterial SSU rRNA
Rfam family: Bacterial small subunit ribosomal RNA
Source: RNAcentral